GUCCUGGUGAUAAAUAGUGGUGACAGUUAUACAACAGUGUGAAUGUACUUAAUGCGACUGAACUGUACAGUUAAAAAUGGAUAAGAUAGCAAAUUUUAUGUAUAUUUUACUAUAAUAAAAAAUAGCAAAAAAGUUUUUCUAGGGUAGUGCUUUUUUCACUGCAGUUUGGUGACCAUGUAGGUACAGUUUUUUGAAAUUUAUUACCAGUUAAAUAUGAGUGAGUAUAUGUGCCUGAGUUUGUUGUGAGUGUGUGUGUAUGAGAGAGAAAAAGAGAGAGAUUUGAGUUGUCAAAUGUAUUUCCUGCUGCUGUGGUGACGUUCCAAAAUGUUUGAAAGCUGUUGCCCUCAAGAAACUCUUGUAUAUAGAGUAACAGCUUUCAAGAUAUUUUUACAUUAGCCCACAAUAAGAAAUUCAUGUUUGAAUAUGUGCGUUGGUUGUACAUGUAAAUCUGAAAUAAAUCUUGGGUACAUGCCGAUACUUUCUAUUUUUUUCAUUGAGUAAAAAAAGUAAUGGCCAUGACCCACUAAAUUGAUUUUGUGAUCCACAAUUUGAAAAUUACUGUUUUAGGUUACGUUUCUGGGACUGGAAUUAUUGGGUGACGGUAAAAUCCAAACUUCCCUAGAUUUUGCCAUAUUUUAGUAUAUAUUUGUUCUCAGCAGAGUGGGUAGAGAUGAUGGUGGUUUGUGCCACUCCACUCAGGGGCAUUUGGAAAUGUGAAGUAAAUGUUUGUUUGUCACAAUGACUGGGGAGUGUUCCUGGCAUUCAGCAGAUAGGAUCCAGAUCGGUAAGUGUUCUGAAGUAUACAAGACAGCCCUGCACAAGCCAUGUCUCCUGUCCAGAAUGUCUUUAGUGAUCUUAUUGAAAAAUAUUGGGCCUGAUUGUGCUCUUUUUCUACCAUUUUCCUUGUUGUAUGGUAUAUAUUUAUUGGUAACACUGCCCUAUCGGAGGCAUGGGUUGUGGCAGGAAGAGCGUGGGGUUUAGAGUCCAGUAUGUGUGCUUGAAUCUUGAUAUUUAACCAGCUCUGUUUUAUCCCUGAACAAUUUAUCUGAUCUCUGUAUACCUUAGCUCCCUGAUCUAGAAAGUGGAGAUCACUAUGAGUCAUCUCUAUGAGCAUCUAUGAGUAAGGGUUUGCAUUAACAAGAUCAUGAGUAUUCAUUGUUUAAGCAAUACACACAUAAGUACGUAAUAAGUGAUUUUUACUACAUUAUGAAUGCGUGCUACUGAAUUUAUUUGUUCAGUUGAACCCAUUUUCUCAGAUUAGGAAAUACUAUCUUAUUUAAAUCUUGUCUUUACUUUUUUGUAGAGAAGAAAGAGAUACCUUACGUGGCCACUUGGGUUACUAGGACAUGAAGUAUAAGGAUUAAGAAAAUUUUUUUUCUAAGUAUCUCUCAUUCUAAUUUGUCUUAUUCUAAUUUAUCUCCCCUUGAUGUUUUGCUCCUCUCUGUUGUAACCUUACUAGUUCACAUGGAUGCAGUGGAGCCAACCACACCAGCAUCACAAGCCCCCAAAUCACCCAGCUCUGAGUGGUUGGUGAGGACCUCUGCAGCAGAGAAAGCCACAGACGCAACUACUGCUACAUUUUUUAAAAUGCCACAAGAAAAGAGCCCUGGAUACAGCUAGAGAGCAGGACUUCACCCUCCAGGAGCUGACUGGGUGUUGCUGAAGCAAAUGUUGGACUUUGUGUUAGAUAGUCUUGCAUAUCUUAAUCGACAUUCCCAGUCCUUUCACCACCAGAACCAACUCCUCUUUCAAACACAGCAGUGGAUUCUUUCUCUCAGAAGAUCAUGUUGUGGGAAUCUUUUUUUUAAAUAGUGAAAUAUUGAGGCAGCAAUUUUUUACAAAAAGGUCAUCCUCUGCUCUAUUUGUUACCUUGUUAUUGCUGUCUCAACAUUUACUACAGCUCCAUUUACAGAACUGUUGCUUUUUUGCAGUUGUCUUUGUUCUUGAAAAACCAGUAACUGCUUCUGCAUACCUUUUGUGUAGAGCUUUUAAUAUCAUUUGAGGAAGUUCCAAAUUUGUAGCCAGUUCCAAACAAAUUUAAAUAUUGAGUUGAGACCUGUAUGGAAUUGUGUUCGCAGGAGAUAAGGCUUGCCUUUGAGCCUACUCUUGAUUCAUGCAGAGUGCCAAUAAGAUAAAUCAACCAAGUUUUGGGGCCUCAAAAGAGACACCAGCAACUGGGCCUUGAGAACUUCCAUUUUUUUGCAGAUUGUCUGCAGAAACUCAGACAGCUCAUCAGCAGCAGCAGCUGUAUUGUAUUUUACCUCAUCUUCAGAGUUUAUGUUCUACUGAAAGAGGACGUGUGUAUACACACACACACACACACACACACACAGAUUGGUAUAAUGGAGAAGAUGGUUUAGGUGUACAGCAAAUUUAAAAUAGUCAGUGGAUUGUGUCUUACUACUUCAUGUCCCAGUGUAAGCCUUUAUGUCCUAAGCAGGACUUUAUUGUUAGUAUUAUAGGCUAAUAACCUGCAGCAGAAAUUCAUACUCUAUUAUAAUAAUGGCUUCUUGGGGCCAUGCUUUGGGGAAGUAAAAUGUCUUUUUGACAUGCCUUU
RNAcentral lists this long non-coding RNA (2557 nucleotides) under Homo sapiens (human). Its description in RNAcentral is "long non-coding RNA NONHSAT037891.2". Lineage: Eukaryota; Metazoa; Chordata; Mammalia; Primates; Hominidae. The record is from RNAcentral.